This 564-nucleotide ribosomal RNA is filed under the name Bipolaris maydis (southern corn leaf blight pathogen). RNAcentral's name for it is "eukaryotic LSU rRNA". The stretch from base 187 to 340 matches the Rfam family "5.8S ribosomal RNA". The record is from RNAcentral. Lineage: Eukaryota; Fungi; Ascomycota; Dothideomycetes; Pleosporales; Pleosporaceae.
GCGGAGGGAUCAUUACACAACAAAAUAUGAAGGCCUGGCUUUGCGGCCGGCUGAAAUAUUUUUUUCACCCAUGUCUUUUGCGCACUUGUUGUUUCCUGGGCGGGUUCGCCCGCCACCAGGACCAAACCAUAAACCUUUUUUUUAUGCAGUUGCAAUCAGCGUCAGUAUAAACAAUGUAAUUAUUACAACUUUCAACAACGGAUCUCUUGGUUCUGGCAUCGAUGAAGAACGCAGCGAAAUGCGAUACGUAGUGUGAAUUGCAGAAUUCAGUGAAUCAUCGAAUCUUUGAACGCACAUUGCGCCCUUUGGUAUUCCAAAGGGCAUGCCUGUUCGAGCGUCAUUUGUACCCUCAAGCUUUGCUUGGUGUUGGGCGUUUUUGUCUCCCUCUUUGCUGGGAGACUCGCCUUAAAACGAUUGGCAGCCGGCCUACUGGUUUCGGAGCGCAGCACAUAUUUUGCACUCUGUAUCAGGAGAAAAGGACGGUAAUCCAUCAAGACUCUUACGAUUUUUAACUUUUGACCUCGGAUCAGGUAGGGAUACCCGCUGAACUUAAGCAUAUCAAUA